GUAUGGCAGUAUGCCAACUCAAGGUGUUAUCAGAGAAUGUGCCUAAAACUCUAUUUGCAAUUCCUGUGUAACUAUGGAUACGACCUUUCUACAAUCAAACUCAUUACUACUGUGCACAGUCGAUUUCAAUGUUCUGAUAACUCUACUAAGGAAAUGAUUUUUGAGCUCAACUACCCAACUAUUGCUAUUUCCCACCCAACCAUGAAAGGUAGUAAGUCUGUUAAUAGAAUGGUCACAAACGUUGGAGCUGAUGAUGAAACAACUUACACAGUAAGCGUAAUUUCUCCUGAUGGACUAGAUGUUGCAGUGAUCAGGACUUUUCUGCAGUCAUGGAAGCAUUGAAACCAAGGUUGCAAACCCCAAACUAAGAGACCACUCUCAUUCCACAUGUUCACUUGUUGGGUCUGUCAUGGUAGUUCCUGGCCGUGUUUGUAUUUAACUCGGUUUUCAUAUCCCUUGGUCAGGGAUUAACCAAGGACAGAUUGAAGUGGAAUUUUUUUGUGUCAAAACUCAAAACUACAGAGUAGUUAAAUGAAUCAAUAUUUCCACAUUCUGUAUUCCAAGUUUGUAUUCAACAAGUAUUACGAAAAUGGCUGGUAGCUUGUGACAGUCUACUCUACUAUUCAAAAUGGCUAGUAGCCUGGACAGUCUACUCUAUCAAGGUUUUACAUUCGGACAGUAUGUUGUAUUGAUAAACUUUAACAACCAACUAAAUUCAUAGAAAUGAUUGGAAGGCAGUCUUUAAGCUUAUGCUUCACCAUUACUGGACUAUGUGUCAUGUUAAAAAUCUAUCAUUAUUGUCUAAUUCAAUUAUGUGCCAUAAGACCACAUUUCAUUAUUACGCCUAAAAUACUAAAAUUCACAAAAGCUGGGAGCAAACUGAGCUACCAAGUUGUUUUCUCAACUACAACAUCCUCUCCAAGAAAUAGAACACUAAAUAAAGCUUUCGGAAUCAAAUAUAAACCUAAAGAUAUAUACCACCAAAACUUUAAACAUAGAGUAAAGCAAAUCCUACAAAAGAGAAAAAUAAUCAAGAGAAUCCAAGUGAAUAAGGUAAACAAUCCUACAGUUCUGCAGCUCAGAAAGAUAAAGUUUUCUUUAGUGUUUGGGGCUCCAUGAAUAAAAUAAGAGAGCUUGGUUCUUUAGAGUUUAGAUAACAUGAGUGUGGGCACUAUGAAGACACAGAUACACGCACCUUAGUAUACCUCUUUGGUAGGUUAGACUUGGGUUACUGAUUUCUUCCUUCAUUUAUGCUUUAAAAUGGGAUUAAUGAUUACUAAACACAAUUUUAUACCAUUAACAUCUUGUCUUCUUAUUUUAUUUACCUAAUCUGGUCAUCUAGUUGUAUACUUUAUACAGGUAUAUGUAGAAAUAUUGAGACCAGACCAUCUUGCUAGGGAGUGCAGUUUGAAAUCUGAAACCUAACCGAAUAAAUUUUAGUUUCAAUCGAAUUUCGAUUACACAUAAAUUUUCACUAUAAAUGCAGUACAUCCAAAUGUAAUUGAAUAGGACUUUUGAGUUGGAUGUUGAGUGAAUCCAACUCAAACUCAGAUCAGAUUCUGAUCAAAACCCUUAUCCAUAAUCAAGCUCAGAUAGAUCAUAGAUGUGAAUACAAAGAGAUCAUCUGAUACGUUGUUGUAAAAUUGGAAUAUUAAAGUGGUGAUCUCUAAGAACAACUAGGUCAAACCUCUUAAAUUGGAAUUAUCUCAACCCUUUUUAUGUGAAUGUGUCACCAAACAAGGGGACGAGCAACAACCCGACCACAAUCUAGGACAUUUUUAUAACCAAAUUUUCUUCAAAAAAACCAUACACUUGCAAUGUAAAGAUCUCCAAAACCCAUAUAUGUAUUGCUAUCUAUACCAAAUGAUUAACAACUUCGAUCAUAUAAAAAAUACAUACCUUCUGGCUUCUCCUUUCGACUUUUUUUUUCCUUCGCCAGCUUAACCUAAAACCCCAUUAACAAACAAAGAGAGAUUCAUUAGAGAAGAUUUGAUAUACAAAACUUGAAACGUUCAAAUUCAAGUUUAAAAUUAAUAACUCUUUUUACUUUUUAAACCUUCAAAUCAAUCUCAUUACCAGAUCUAUCAAUAACCCACUUUCAAAAAUCCAAUCUUUAUUCAAACCCACAUUCAAAAUGCACUCAAAUCAAUCUCAUUACAGUAAGUGUAGAAAUAGAGAGAAGAAGGAAUGAUAAAUCUAAAGCUAAUAAUGAAGGUUCAUUUAAGAAAAAAACAGUUUCAUUCUAAAUGACAAAUACAGAGAAAGAGAGUGAUUUAGGAGGAAGAAGAUAAGAAAAAUCUAAACAUAUUUUUCAUUGUAUUCCAUGAAUCUAAAAAUGGAGAGUUGGAGAACAAAAUCGAUUUAAAUUCAAAUUUGUUUAAAUUAAAAAAAAAACGAAUUUAAAAUAAUCCCACAAUCAAGUCGAUUUGAAUCUAUUCAUUACCUUGAUGAAAUCCCUGCUUGUAAAUGAUGGAGGAGAGAGAUGGUGCUUGUGAAUGAUGGAGGAAAGAGAAGAGAAAAGGGAGAAGAGAAAAGAAAAGAGGGAGAAGAGAAGAGAACGCAGAGAAGAGUCGGGGAAUUUUUUUUAGGGGUGGGCUAGGGAAUGUUUCGCGAGAAACAUUUUCACAAAGGAAUUUUUACGGGCCCAACUUAUCCAAUCAAACGGACAUUAGGAAAAUUUGAUGGUAAUGUUUGACGUGGGAAUUUUUCCCACGACCAAUCAAACACACCC
This 2731-nucleotide long non-coding RNA is filed under the name Aquilegia coerulea. RNAcentral describes it as "long non-coding RNA (ACOE_LNC001434)". Lineage: Eukaryota; Viridiplantae; Streptophyta; Magnoliopsida; Ranunculales; Ranunculaceae. The record is from RNAcentral.